This 253-nucleotide ribosomal RNA is filed under the name uncultured bacterium. RNAcentral describes it as "partial 16S ribosomal RNA". It matches the Rfam family "Bacterial small subunit ribosomal RNA", at positions 524 to 776 of the family's 1533-position model. The record is from RNAcentral.
UACAGAGGGUGCGAGCGUUAAUCGGAAUUACUGGGCGUAAAGCGUGCGUAGACGGUUAUCUAAGUCGGAUGUGAAAGCCCCGGGCUCAACCUGGGAAUUGCAUUCGAGACUGAAUAGCUAGGGUGCGGUAGAGGGAAGCGGAGUUUCCGGUGUAGCGGUGAAAUGCGUAGAUAUCGGAAGGAACAUCAGUGGCGAAAGCGGCUUCCUGGACCAGCACCGACGUUCAGGCACGAAAGCGUGGGGAGCAAACAGG